Carlito syrichta (Philippine tarsier) is the source of this 783-nucleotide long non-coding RNA. RefSeq lists it as uncharacterized. The record is from RefSeq and is a predicted model, not a curated record. The transcript is spliced from 3 exons. Lineage: Eukaryota; Metazoa; Chordata; Mammalia; Primates; Tarsiidae.
GCUUCUGCAGUCCCUGCCCUUCCUGGAGCAACCCGUGCUUUGGAAAAAUGACCGUGCCAAAGGGGAACUAACACUCUCAGCCCAGGGCAGGUCUUGUCAAUCUGAUUUUUAAAUGAUGGAGGAGGUUUGAGGACAAAGCUCAUGGUGGCAUCACCGCUAUCUGGGAGGAUGCAAAGAUCAAGUGGCAAGGAGGAAAGGAGCCUUUGAAUGUGAGCACAUUCACAGACUCAGAGGACAGAGAGGUAUUUAAAGUGAACUGGAACAAACCUGCAACAUCAGGUGCGUUCUGCCUUCAAAAAUAGCUGCCAGUUAGAAAGGGUUAUUUACAUAUUGAUUUCAUGCUAACUUUGUAAUGGAAUGUGCUGCCUGCCUGCCUGAGACCUAACAACUGUCAUCAUAAUUUUUUCUAAAAAUACAGUCAGAGAAAAACACUCUUUGAACCCUGCACUGGAAAGUGGCUGCGAAAGACCCCAAUCCCAAACCUGCCCAGCAGACCACCACCAAGGGCAGGGUCCCUCAGCAACUGUAACAAGAGGAACAUUUCACAGUUACAGCCGCACUCCAGCCAACUGGCACGCUAUUUUUUUUUUUUUGUCUUUCUAGAAAACCUGUCUUGUUCAAAGGCCUGAUGGCGCUGAUUCGGUUGUGAUCCUGGGCAUAUGGAUGGCAUAUUUGCUGCGAGCUAGCCGGCCCCCGCUGCUGGGGACAAAUCUUUCAUUCAUGAACAGAAGCUUGUUAGGCCGGCUCCCGCCUCUAAAGCCACUUAAUUAAAUUGCGGAAAGU